RNAcentral lists this unclassified non-coding RNA (343 nucleotides) under soil metagenome. RNAcentral's name for it is "partial contains 5.8S ribosomal RNA, internal transcribed spacer 2, and large subunit ribosomal RNA". The stretch from base 1 to 120 matches the Rfam family "5.8S ribosomal RNA", at positions 35 to 154 of the family's 154-position model. The record is from RNAcentral.
GAUGAAGAACGUAGCGAAAUGCGAUACGUAAUGUGAAUUGCAGAAUUCAGUGAAUCAUCGAGUCUUUGAACGCACAUUGCGCCCUCUGGUAUUCCGGAGGGCAUGCCUGUCCGAGCGUCAUUGCUGCCCUCAAGCACGGCUUGUGUGUUGGGCCCCGCCCCCCGAUCCCGGGGGGCGGGCCCGAAAGGCAGCGGCGGCACCGCGUCCGGUCCUCGAGCGUAUGGGGCUUUGUCACCCGCUCUGUAGGCCCGGCCGGCGCUUGCCGAUCAACCAAACUUUUUUCCAGGUUGACCUCGGAUCAGGUAGGGAUACCCGCUGAACUUAAGCAUAUCAAUACGGAGGA